RNAcentral lists this ribosomal RNA (253 nucleotides) under uncultured bacterium. RNAcentral describes it as "partial 16S ribosomal RNA". It matches the Rfam family "Bacterial small subunit ribosomal RNA", at positions 524 to 776 of the family's 1533-position model. The record is from RNAcentral.
GACGGAGGGGGCUAGCGUUGUUCGGAAUGACUGGGCGUAAAGGGCGCGUAGGCGGUUCUUUAAGUAAGGCGUGAAAGCCCUGGGCUUAACCCAGGAGGUGCGUUUUAGACUGGAGAACUUGAGUGCGAGAGAGGAGAGUGGAAUCCCUAGUGUAGAGGUGAAAGUCGUAGAUAUUAGGAAGAACACCCGUGGCGAAGGCGGCUUUCUGGCUCGCAACUGACGCUGAGGCGCGAAAGCGUGGGGAGCAAACAGG